AACGAACGCUGGCGGCGUGCCUAAUACAUGCAAGUCGAACGAAAUACCUUCGGGUAUUUAGUGGCGAACGGGUGAGUAAUACGUAGAUAACCUGCCUAUAGGACUGGGAUAACUAUUGGAAACGAUAGCUAAUACCGGAUAGGUAGAACGAGGGCAUCCUUGUUCUAUUAAAGUUGGGAAACAACACAUAUAGAUGGAUCUACGGCGCAUUAGUUAGUUGGUGGGGUAACGGCCUACCAAGACGAUGAUGCGUAGCCGACCUGAGAGGGUGAACGGCCACACUGGGACUGAGACACGGACCAGACUCCUACGGGAGGCAGCAGUGAGGAAUAUUGGUCAAUGGACGCAAGUCUGAACCAGCCACGUCGCGUGAAGGAAGACGGCCCUACGGGUUGUAAACUUCUUUUAUACGGGAAUAAAGUGCCCCACGCGUGGGGUUUUGCAUGUACCGUAUGAAUAAGGAUCGGCUAACUCCGUG
RNAcentral lists this ribosomal RNA (478 nucleotides) under uncultured bacterium. RNAcentral describes it as "bacterial SSU rRNA". It matches the Rfam family "Bacterial small subunit ribosomal RNA", at positions 29 to 507 of the family's 1533-position model. The record is from RNAcentral.